Molecule: long non-coding RNA, 1998 nt
Organism: Equus caballus (horse)
Lineage: Eukaryota; Metazoa; Chordata; Mammalia; Perissodactyla; Equidae
Source: RefSeq, a predicted model, not a curated record
AAUUCUUAGCCAUAAAGCUGAUGACUAACACAGGAAUGGUUGGAAAGAAAAAUCUUUUUAAUCUGGGAAGGAGAGGGAAGGACGAAGGCAAGAAGGAAAAGAUCCAUAGAGCUCAUGAGUGUGGUUAUCAGCCCAAAUCAGAGCUUUUCGAGAAUCGGAAUUAGAACUUGGAUGUGUAUAGUCCCACUAAUGAACCAGGGCUCGUUCUGGGAAGUUCUGGAGGAAAUAAGCCCUAGGCCUGCGGCCCAACCUGGCCUUUGGGGCCCCAGGGGAAGGCUGCCGUAUUAAGGGGGCCCAUGCCCUCAUCGCUGCAGGAGACAAGGGAGCGAGCACUUGGCUGCGCCACAGAAAUUACUGCUGUACCUCGAAUGCCCGCUUCAUUUAUCAAUUUCAUAGCAGAAAAACCCAUAUGACUGCCUUGUUCACUCGCACGCUAAAUCUAGUCACAGAAAGCUCCUCACCGCCAGUCAAGUGUGUUAUGCGCGGGCUUAGAGAAAGUAACUUGAAAUACCACUAAUGAUUUAUACUUAAUUGAACCUCUAAGUGAUUAAAGUGGCAGUAAUGAAUGAAUAACACCCUCCUCGUUCCCUCACCCACUCGGCCCAGCGACUCCGGGCAGAGCGGGCCUCGCCUUGGGAAGUCAGCUACAAAGGCCGGCGUGAACCAUUCUCUCAGCUUCCCCCAAGCCGCUCAUCUGGGUCCUGGCUAAAUUGCUCUCGCUUGCAGCAAAUGACUCCAUAAGCACCAUAUCAGACCAUUGAUCCUUUUUAUUAGAUUACCCAAUUGUAAGGUUAAUGCAUUUGCAUUUGCCAAACGGAGUGGGUCAGCCUGAAUCCCACACGGGGAUCCACGUUUAAACGGACACACAGCCGAGGAGAGUGGCUCUGUCAACGUAUUGAUUUGUUGGAACAGGAACCAGCUGGAUGCUGAUACCCUUGCCUCAGCCCACCCCCUACCUCCAAAAGAAAGUGCAGGAGAACACACUUCCCGGGCUGUGUCUUCCUUAGCACAAACCCCCUUGACAGCCAGGAGGCCAACGCCAGCGGCCACCCACAAUACUUCUGUUUCUGGAAGAAAGAAGGGCCCUGCAAAGGUUUCGGUCACCUCAGACACAGACAAAGGUGGGCCAUUCACCUUGGACCAGGAACCUGGCUGCUUUCUCUAAAUGAGGGAGAGCCAGGACUUGUGACAAGGACACAAGCUUCAGAAGCCAAAAAUUCUUCUUUUCUGAACAUCAUAGAGUCAGACUGGGGCAGCCAUUUCUCCCUAGGUUUCUACACCUGACGUGAACUUAUUCUUGGAUUUUUGAAAUGCAUUAACCAAAUGCCAUUUAAGUGAUCCACCUUCAUAAGAAUUUUCUAAAGCAGAAACUGGGACUUGCAGAGGCCAAGUAACUGUCCAAUGUGACGCAGCUGGAAAGGGGAGAGCUGGAGCUCAAGCCCAAGCCGGUCAGACUCCAGGACCUGCGUUCUGUCACUCUGCCCCACUCCCAGGACUUGAAGUAUCUUUGGGCGGGGAACAAACCAGAGUUCUGCAGAGACUCUGGCUUCUCCUUCCCUUCCUCGUCUUCUAUUCCAUUAAGCCAACAGCCUCAGGAGCAGGCAAGGGAUAGGAAGGCGUUGGUCCAGAGCGAAAAGAGAGCUUCAGAUGCGAAGGGGAAAGAAAAUCACUGAGUGAGCAACAGUUGACCUUGAUUCCAGAUUAAUGGAGUAUAAAUUAACAACAAACGUGUGCAAUGUCCUGGAAGUCAGAUGCUUCUCCACACUCCCUCACUGUCCUCCGGCAAAAUGCUUCCUGUCCCUGAGCUGCUUUUCUACAAAUGUGAUGUGGGGGAACGGGGACUGCUGUCUGCAAGUCACCCUUGCCGUGGUGGGAACCCAUUCGGCCUGGCCUUUAUGCAAUGAAGGGCCUCCAGUUGAAGAUACAGACAGUGUCUCUGUUAAUAACACCAUUUUAUGGAAUUAAAUUUGGCGUCUGUUAAAAGUAUUCAUUAGUUGA